RNAcentral lists this small nuclear RNA (22 nucleotides) under Arabidopsis thaliana (thale cress). RNAcentral describes it as "snRNA_12206". Lineage: Eukaryota; Viridiplantae; Streptophyta; Magnoliopsida; Brassicales; Brassicaceae. The record is from RNAcentral.
GCCAAGGGAACGGGCUUGGCAG